CCUGGUAGUGGGGGACAACGUUUCGAAAGGAACGCUAAUACCGCAUACGUCCUACGGGAGAAAGCAGGGGACCUUCGGGCCUUGCGCUAUCAGAUGAGCCUAGGUCGGAUUAGCUAGUUGGUGAGGUAAUGGCUCACCAAGGCGACGAUCCGUAACUGGUCUGAGAGGAUGAUCAGUCACACUGGAACUGAGACACGGUCCAGACUCCUACGGGAGGCAGCAGUGGGGAAUAUUGGACAAUGGGCGAAAGCCUGAUCCAGCCAUGCCGCGUGUGUGAAGAAGGUCUUCGGAUUGUAAAGCACUUUAAGUUGGGAGGAAGGGUUGUACGUUAAUACCGUGCAAUUUUGACGUUACUGACAGAAUAAGCACCGGCUAACUCUGUGCCAGCAGCCGCGGUAAU
This 400-nucleotide ribosomal RNA is filed under the name uncultured bacterium. RNAcentral describes it as "bacterial SSU rRNA". It matches the Rfam family "Bacterial small subunit ribosomal RNA", at positions 129 to 524 of the family's 1533-position model. The record is from RNAcentral.